UUAUAUUUCUCAUACUAUGCCUUCAAGGCCAUGGUCACAAUACAUUCCAUAAUUAAACACCUACACCAUAAGUGGAUCAAACCAAGCAAGAACAAUUUUAUCCAUAAUAUGAGAUUAAGCCCAACUUACCAUCCUCCAAAGCCAUAAUAACCAUUACUCAAUUCCCAACAAUUCUAUCACCACAAGGUGAUUCACCCAUACUUUGCCCAUAAGGCCACAAUCCUCAAUUCAUCCAUAUACCAACAAUUCAUCAUAAAUAGAUAUAGAAAAUCAUAUAAAUCAACAAAACAAUCCAAUCUAAACACAAUUUCAUCAACAUUAAAUCAUAGGCAUUAAACCC
This 340-nucleotide long non-coding RNA is filed under the name Solanum tuberosum (potato). RNAcentral's name for it is "long non-coding RNA (STUB_LNC000119)". Lineage: Eukaryota; Viridiplantae; Streptophyta; Magnoliopsida; Solanales; Solanaceae. The record is from RNAcentral.